AGUAACGCGUGAGGAACCUGCCUCAAAGAGGGGGACAACAGUUGGAAACGACUGCUAAUACCGCAUAAGCCCACGGCUCGGCAUCGAGCAGAGGGAAAAGGAGCAAUCCGCUUUGAGAUGGCCUCGCGUCCGAUUAGCUAGUUGGUGAGGUAAUGGCCCACCAAGGCGACAAUCGGUAGCCGGACUGAGAGGUUGAACGGCCACAUUGGGACUGAGACACGGCCCAG
Molecule: ribosomal RNA, 227 nt
Filed under: uncultured bacterium
Lineage: Bacteria
Description: partial 16S ribosomal RNA
Rfam family: Bacterial small subunit ribosomal RNA
Source: RNAcentral